AGCAGCCGCGGUAAUACAGAGGGUGCGAGCGUUGUUCGGAAUCACUGGGCGUAAAGCGCACGUAGGCGGCGCCGUAAGUCAGGGGUGAAAUCCCGGAGCUCAACUCCGGAACUGCCCUUGAAACUGCAGUGCUAGAAUCCUGGAGAGGCGAGUGGAAUUCCGAGUGUAGAGGUGAAAUUCGUAGAUAUUCGGAAGAACACCAGUGGCGAAGGCGACUCGCUGGACAGGUAUUGACGCUGAGGUGCGAAAGCGUGGGGAGCAA
Molecule: ribosomal RNA, 262 nt
Filed under: uncultured bacterium
Lineage: Bacteria
Description: partial 16S ribosomal RNA
Rfam family: Bacterial small subunit ribosomal RNA
Source: RNAcentral